RNAcentral lists this ribosomal RNA (468 nucleotides) under uncultured bacterium. Its description in RNAcentral is "partial 16S ribosomal RNA". It matches the Rfam family "Bacterial small subunit ribosomal RNA", at positions 28 to 507 of the family's 1533-position model. The record is from RNAcentral.
GACGAACGCUGGCGGCGUGCUUAACACAUGCAAGUCGAACGGAAAGGCCCUGCUUUUGUGGGGUGCUCGAGUGGCGAACGGGUGAGUAACACGUGAGUAACCUGCCCUUGACUUUGGGAUAACUUCAGGAAACUGGGUCUAAUACCGGAUAGGAGCUCCUGCUGCAUGGUGGGGGUUGGAAAGUUUCGGCGGUUGGGUAUGGACUCGCGGCUUAUCAGCUUGUUGGUGGGGUAGUGGCUUACCAAGGCUUUGACGGGUAGCCGGCCUGAGAGGGUGACCGGCCACAUUGGGACUGAGAUACGGCCCAGACUCCUACGGGAGGCAGCAGUGGGGAAUAUUGCACAAUGGGCGGAAGCAUGAUGCAGCAACGCAGCGUGCGGGAUGACGGCCUUCGGGUUGUAAACCGCUUUCGCCUGUGACGAAGCGUGAGUGACGGUAAUGGGUAAAGAAGCACCGGCUAACUACGUG